CCUACGGGCGGCAGCAGUGGGGAAUAUUGGGCAAUGGGCGCAAGCCUGACCCAGCAACGCCGCGUGAAGGAAGAAGGCUUUCGGGUUGUAAACUUCUUUUGACAGGGAAGAGUAGGAGACGGUGCCUGUCGAAUAAGCCACGGCGAACUACGUGCCAGCAGCCGCGGGAAUACGUAGGUGGCAAGCGUUGUCCGGAUUUACUGGGUGUAAAGGGCGUGUAGCCGGGUUGACAAGUCAGAUGUGAAAUCCUGCGGCUUAACCGCAGAACUGCAUUUGAAACUGUUGAUGUUGAGUACUGGAGAGGCAGACGGAAUUCCUAGUGUAGCGGUGAAAUGCGUAGAUAUUAGGAGGAACACCAGUGGCGAAGGCGGUCUGCUGGACCGCAACUGACGGUGAGGCGCGAAAGCGUGGGGAGCAAACAGGAUUAGAUACCCGAGUAGUC
This 442-nucleotide ribosomal RNA is filed under the name uncultured bacterium. Its description in RNAcentral is "partial 16S ribosomal RNA". It matches the Rfam family "Bacterial small subunit ribosomal RNA", at positions 338 to 795 of the family's 1533-position model. The record is from RNAcentral.